Molecule: microRNA, 21 nt
Filed under: Prunus persica (peach)
Lineage: Eukaryota; Viridiplantae; Streptophyta; Magnoliopsida; Rosales; Rosaceae
Description: microRNA miRNA_437
Source: RNAcentral
ACGUUAUGUUGUCAAAUUGUC